UGGGGAAUAUUGCACAAUGGGGGAAACCCUGAUGCAGCAACGCCGCGUGGGUGAAGGAGCGUUUCGGCGCGUAAAGCCCUGUCAGCGGGGAAGAAGAAAGACGGUACCGACCAAGAAGCCCCGGCUAACUACGUGCC
This 137-nucleotide ribosomal RNA is filed under the name uncultured bacterium. RNAcentral describes it as "partial 16S ribosomal RNA". It matches the Rfam family "Bacterial small subunit ribosomal RNA", at positions 355 to 509 of the family's 1533-position model. The record is from RNAcentral.